Molecule: ribosomal RNA, 628 nt
Filed under: Escherichia coli
Lineage: Bacteria; Pseudomonadati; Pseudomonadota; Gammaproteobacteria; Enterobacterales; Enterobacteriaceae
Description: partial 23S ribosomal RNA
Rfam family: Bacterial large subunit ribosomal RNA
Source: RNAcentral
GAAAGGCGCGCGAUACAGGGUGACAGCCCCGUACACAAAAAUGCACAUGCUGUGAGCUCGAUGAGUAGGGCGGGACACGUGGUAUCCUGUCUGAAUAUGGGGGGACCAUCCUCCAAGGCUAAAUACUCCUGACUGACCGAUAGUGAACCAGUACCGUGAGGGAAAGGCGAAAAGAACCCCGGCGAGGGGAGUGAAAAAGAACCUGAAACCGUGUACGUACAAGCAGUGGGAGCACGCUUAGGCGUGUGACUGCGUACCUUUUGUAUAAUGGGUCAGCGACUUAUAUUCUGUAGCAAGGUUAACCGAAUAGGGGAGCCGAAGGGAAACCGAGUCUUAACUGGGCGUUAAGUUGCAGGGUAUAGACCCGAAACCCGGUGAUCUAGCCAUGGGCAGGUUGAAGGUUGGGUAACACUAACUGGAGGACCGAACCGACUAAUGUUGAAAAAUUAGCGGAUGACUUGUGGCUGGGGGUGAAAGGCCAAUCAAACCGGGAGAUAGCUGGUUCUCCCCGAAAGCUAUUUAGGUAGCGCCUCGUGAAUUCAUCUCCGGGGGUAGAGCACUGUUUCGGCAAGGGGGUCAUCCCGACUUACCAACCCGAUGCAAACUGCGAAUACCGGAGAAUGUUAUC